ACUUAAAUUGAAGAGUUUGAUCAUGGCUCAGAUUGAACGCUGGCGGCAGGCCUAACACAUGCAAGUCGAACGGUAGCACAGAGAGCUUGCUCUCGGG
This 97-nucleotide ribosomal RNA is filed under the name Salmonella enterica subsp. enterica serovar Agona str. ATCC BAA-707. Its description in RNAcentral is "partial 16S ribosomal RNA". It matches the Rfam family "Bacterial small subunit ribosomal RNA", at positions 1 to 90 of the family's 1533-position model. RNAcentral also lists the same sequence under 3 other names. Lineage: Bacteria; Pseudomonadati; Pseudomonadota; Gammaproteobacteria; Enterobacterales; Enterobacteriaceae. The record is from RNAcentral.